GGAGGACAGGUAGGUGUGUGUGUGUGUGUGUGUGUGUACACACACACACCUACCUGUCCUCCUC
Molecule: non-coding RNA, 64 nt
Organism: Pelobates cultripes (western spadefoot toad)
Lineage: Eukaryota; Metazoa; Chordata; Amphibia; Anura; Pelobatidae
Source: the annotation of a GenBank genome assembly